This 497-nucleotide ribosomal RNA is filed under the name uncultured bacterium. Its description in RNAcentral is "partial 16S ribosomal RNA". It matches the Rfam family "Bacterial small subunit ribosomal RNA", at positions 28 to 507 of the family's 1533-position model. The record is from RNAcentral.
GGUGAACGCUGGCGGCGUGCCUAAUACAUGCCAGUCGAGCGAACAGACGAGGAGCUUGCUCCUUUGACGUUAGCGGCGGACGGGUGAGUAACACGUGGAUAACCUACCUAUAAGACUGGGAUAACUUCGGGAAACCGGAGCUAAUACCGGAUAAUAUAUUGAACCGCAUGGUUCAAUAGUGAAAGACGGUUUUGCUGUCACUUAUAGAUGGAUCCGCGCCGCAUUAGCUAGUUGGUAAGGUAACGGCUUACCAAGGCAACGAUGCGUAGCCGACCUGAGAGGGUGAUCGGCCACACUGGAACUGAGACACGGUCCAGACUCCUACGGGAGGCAGCAGUAGGGAAUCUUCCGCAAUGGGCGAAAGCCUGACGGAGCAACGCCGCGUGAGUGAUGAAGGUCUUCGGAUCGUAAAACUCUGUUAUUAGGGAAGAACAAAUGUGUAAGUAACUAUGCACGUCUUGACGGUACCUAAUCAGAAAGCCACGGCUAACUACGUG